UGUCCUGUAGCACAAUUGGUAGUGCAGGGUCCUCUGAAGGCCAAGGUUGCUGGUUCGAGCCCAGCCGGGACAGCCA
Molecule: transfer RNA, 76 nt
Filed under: Nitrosomonadaceae bacterium
Lineage: Bacteria; Pseudomonadati; Pseudomonadota; Betaproteobacteria; Nitrosomonadales; Nitrosomonadaceae
Description: tRNA-Gln
Rfam family: tRNA
About the family: Transfer RNA (tRNA) molecules are approximately 80 nucleotides in length. Their secondary structure includes four short double-helical elements and three loops (D, anti-codon, and T loops). Further hydrogen bonds mediate the characteristic L-shaped molecular structure. tRNAs have two regions of fundamental functional importance: the anti-codon, which is responsible for specific mRNA codon recognition, and the 3' end, to which the tRNAs corresponding amino acid is attached (by aminoacyl-tRNA synthetases). tRNAs cope with the degeneracy of the genetic code in two manners: having more than one tRNA (with a specific anti-codon) for a particular amino acid; and 'wobble' base-pairing, i.e. permitting non-standard base-pairing at the 3rd anti-codon position.
Source: RNAcentral